RNAcentral lists this ribosomal RNA (253 nucleotides) under uncultured bacterium. RNAcentral describes it as "partial 16S ribosomal RNA". It matches the Rfam family "Bacterial small subunit ribosomal RNA", at positions 524 to 776 of the family's 1533-position model. The record is from RNAcentral.
UACGGGGGGGGCAAGCGUUGUUCGGAAUUACUGGGCGUAAAGGGCUUGUAGGUGGCCAACUAAGUCAGACGUGAAAUCCCUCGGCUUAACCGGGGAACUGCGUCUGAUACUGGAUGGCUAGAGUGUGGGAGAGGGAUGCGGAAUUCCAGGUGUAGCGGUGAAAUGCGUAGAUAUCUGGAGGCACACCGGUGGCGAAGGCGGCAUCCUGGACUACUACUGACGCUGAGGAGCGAAAGCCAGGGGAGCAAACGGG